CCUACGGGAGGCUGCAGUGGGGAAUAUUGCACAAUGGGCGCAAGUCUGAUGCAGCCAUGCCGCGUGUGUGAAGAAGGCCUUCGGGUCGUAAAGCACUUUCAGCGGGGAGGAAGGCGUUAAGGUUAAUAUCCUUGUCGAUUGACGUUACCCGCAGAAGAAGCACCGGCUAACUCCGUGCCAGCAGCCGCGGUAAUACGGAGGGUGCAAGCGUUAAUCGGAAUUACUGGGCGUAAAGCGCACGCAGGCGGUCUGUCAAGUCGGAUGUGAAAUCCCCGGGCUCAACCUGGGAACUGCAUUCGAAACUGGCAGGCUAGAGUCUUGUAGAGGAGGGUAGAAUUCCAGGUGUAGCGGUGAAAUGCGUAGAGAUCUGGAGGAAUACCAGUGGCGAAGGCGGCCCCCUGGACAAAGACUGACGCUCAGGUGCGAAAGCGUGGGGAGCAAACAGGAUUAGAUACCCCGGUAGUC
Molecule: ribosomal RNA, 465 nt
Filed under: uncultured Klebsiella sp.
Lineage: Bacteria; Pseudomonadati; Pseudomonadota; Gammaproteobacteria; Enterobacterales; Enterobacteriaceae
Description: bacterial SSU rRNA
Rfam family: Bacterial small subunit ribosomal RNA
Source: RNAcentral